Molecule: ribosomal RNA, 205 nt
Filed under: Priestia megaterium
Lineage: Bacteria; Bacillati; Bacillota; Bacilli; Caryophanales; Bacillaceae
Description: Bacillus megaterium 16S ribosomal RNA
Rfam family: Bacterial small subunit ribosomal RNA
Source: RNAcentral
CCCUACUCCUACGGGAGGCAGCAGUAGGGAAUCUUCCGCAAUGGACGAAAGUCUGACGGAGCAACGCCGCGUGAGUGAUGAAGGCUUUCGGGUCGUAAAACUCUGUUGUUAGGGAAGAACAAGUACGAGAGUAACUGCUCGUACCUUGACGGUACCUAACCAGAAAGCCACGGCUAACUACGUGCCAGCAGCCGCGGUAAUAAGG